Neltuma alba is the source of this 2104-nucleotide long non-coding RNA. RefSeq lists it as uncharacterized. The transcript is spliced from 2 exons. The record is from RefSeq and is a predicted model, not a curated record. NCBI's taxonomy places the organism in Eukaryota, Viridiplantae, Streptophyta, Magnoliopsida, Fabales, Fabaceae.
CUGUAUUCAUUGAUGAUAAACCCUAAUACCCCUUUCGAAGCCCAUGAUCUAUCUAAACAAUGAGGCGAAAGACGUCUGGUGCCUCCUUCUACAAGGUAUGCCUUCUCCAAUUUCCCUCUCUUUCUUCGGUGUGCAGUCCGUCUUCGUUCCUUCCCUCUUUUCCUUAUCUGCUUAGUUUUAAGUUCUCUGUUCCGAAAAGCAUCAUCGAUGUUGUUCCUUCAUUCAAUCAUAUCAGCUCUAUGCGGCCCCUACUCUGUUCUUGAAAUUAGAAAGAUUUCGAACUCAAUUGAAGAGAUCAAACGCUAUGGGAUUGGUAUCUUACAUUUUGUGCAAAUAGGAUUCGAAGGUCCUACUGUGUCUUUAGUGACUCUGACCUUCAAGAUCAACUAUUUUUGUUAUGGGGGUCAGAUGUCUUUUGUCUUUCUCUAUUGGAGAAGAUUUACUGGAACGGUGAUUAAAUGGAUAUUAUAUCCGCAGUUACAGUGAUUAAAGGACUCAGUAUCAAUAAUAAGACAACGUUGAGAAGCACUGGGCUUUUAUGACAUUCCAAAGGGAAUAGAUUAUCACAGCAUAAUUAAUGGUUUUUUUCCAGAUAUGUGUUAUGACUUUCUGGAAUUAUAUACGUGGUAAAUCUUCACGGGGUAACAUUUAAUAUGUUUUUCAAAUAGGAAGUGUGGAGGAUUGCCUUUAAUUUAAAAGGAUUACAGUUAAAACUUUCAUGACAACUUGAUUCAAAAGGGUUGCCAUUUGGUUGGAUGAGUUAUGACACCUUAAUCAAUGACUUAUGUAAUACAACAGAAGAGAAACCAUCAUUAAAUUGCCAAUGCAUGGAUCCUUCACGAAGGUGUUACUGCAAUUGUGGUUUUGAGGUUUCUCUAUGUUGCAAUGAAAUGGUAGAUAUGGAUCUAUCAUUUUUUACUUCAACAUCUCAAAUUGAAUAAGCCAUUCACGGUGGAGAGAAUGCUAACUUCCAACUACCAAACGUAAAGCAGCUCUCUUAGUAAUAUGUGGAACGCUUAUUCACGCUAUGAGAAAGUGGAUUACAAGGCAGGAAGCUUCUUCAUGAAAUGAUCACCAGAGGUAAGCAGAGGCAUCCUCCGAUUGGAGGCAAACCUUUUUUUUUUUUUUUUUUAAAUAGAGGUGUUAUGAUCCAAGAUGAGGAAGCCCGUUUGGGGGACAUGGUCCAAAAGAAGAAAUAGUAAUGGUGAUUGGGUGGCUGGGUCUCUAAGUUUCCGGGCGUGUGUUCUCCUAUAGAAGCAGAAAAAUGGAUGCUGUUGAUAGGAAUGCGUACUGUUUGGGACCUUGGAUUUCGCAAAGUCAUUUGAAUCUGAUUCCAAGGAGAUUAUUGAUGGGAUUGACAGGAGUCCAGCUAACUGUCAUGGUUUUUCUUCUGUUUGGCAUCUGAUUAUCAGCAUGAGGCAAAGGAACUGGAUUUUACAGUUUCAAUUGGCCCCUACAGAGGCUAACAAGGUAGCAGACAAACUUGCUAAAGAUGGCCCAAGUAACCUGCAUCGGUUCACUUUUAUUUAUAUGGUUCCAGAGUCACUGAGCACCCUAGUGUAGAAAGAUGUUUUGGGAUCUUUGUCCCCUCGUUUGUGAUUGAUUAGGGCUCUGUCCUCUUUUAUAUCCCAAAAAAAGCACUGAAUGCCCUAUUUAUGAGGUGGGGAGUUGGUUAGAAGAAGGGGACAAAAGAGACGAUGCUGGGAAUCAUGAAGGACUGGUAGCACCUAGGAAAAUUGAUGCAGCGAAAGGGAAUGACUUUAAUGCACCACCACUGAGGUGUAGCACCAGCGCCAGGAAUCCUCCACGCAAAUGUAAAGAGGUCAAGGGUAUUUAAGAGGGGUUUUGGCAGUCGGGAGAGUUAGCUUUUGUCUUGUUGGUUCUCUUCUUUGUGUACGUUUCUUUCCUCUCUGAUAUUUUCCCUUCUUUCUGGUAUUUUCCCGUUUUAUGCUAUGCUAAUAUCAGUAUUCUGCGCCAGUACUUGGCUUUGCUGAUUGUAAUUCUGUAGCCUGUGACAAUGGUGCUUACUGUACUAGUCAGGCGACCCUUUAUGGCUCUAUUGAAUAGAAGCAGAAUUAGAGAUACUUGCACUUAUUUUGUUCUA